CCCUUAGAUGUUCUGGGCCGCACGCGCGCUACACUGAUGCAUUCAACGAGUCUAAAACCUGCUCUGAUAGGGGUGGGUAAUCUUCUGAAUGUGCAUCGUGAUUGGGAUAGAUGAUUGCAAUUUUUCAUCUUCAACGAGGAAUGCCUAGUAAACGCAAGUCAUCAGCUUGCAUUGAUUACGUCCCUGCCCUUUGUACACACCGCCCGUCGCUCCUACCGAUUGAAUGAUCCGAUGAAUAUCAUGGAUUGAGGAUGCAAGCAGGUUCGCCUGUCUUCAUCUUCGAGAAGUGAAGUAAAUCUUAUCAUUUAGAGGAAGGAGAAGUCGUAACA
Molecule: ribosomal RNA, 329 nt
Filed under: uncultured eukaryote
Lineage: Eukaryota
Description: partial 18S ribosomal RNA
Rfam family: Eukaryotic small subunit ribosomal RNA
Source: RNAcentral